This 680-nucleotide ribosomal RNA is filed under the name Orbilia mammillata. RNAcentral's name for it is "eukaryotic LSU rRNA". The stretch from base 202 to 355 matches the Rfam family "5.8S ribosomal RNA". The record is from RNAcentral. Lineage: Eukaryota; Fungi; Ascomycota; Orbiliomycetes; Orbiliales; Orbiliaceae.
UGACUGCGGAGGACAUUACCAAUCAUGUCUCCCAGCUGCAAGGCUGGUGCAGGCGUUUAACCCUUUGUGAACCAAAAAACCUUUCGCUUCGGCAGCAGCUCGGUUGGAAACAGCCUCUGUGUCAGCCUGCCGGCAGCACCAUUUAUCAAAACUUGCAGUUAGCAACAUUGUCUGAUUACCAAAUUUUCGAAUGAAAAUUAAAACUUUCAACAACGGAUCUCUUGGUUCCCGCAUCGAUGAAGAACGCAGCGAAACGCGAUAGUUAAUGUGAAUUGCAGAAUUCAGUGAAUCAUCGAGUCUUUGAACGCACAUUGCGCCCAUUGGUAUUCCAUUGGGCAUGUCUGUUUGAGCGUCAUUACAACCCUCGGUCACCACCGGUUUUGAGCGAGCAGGGUCUCAGGAUCCAGCUGGCUUUAAAGUUGUAAGCUCUGCUGGCUGCCCGGCCCAACCAGAACAUAGUAAAAUCAUGCUUGUUCAAGGUUCGCGGUCGAAGCGGUACGGCCUGAACAAUACCUACCACCUCUUAGGUUUGACCUCAGAUCAGACAAGGAUACCCGCUGAACUUAAGCAUAUCAAUAAGCGGAGGAAAAGAAACCAACAGGGAUUGCCUCAGUAACGGCGAGUGAAGCGGCAAAAGCUCAAAUUUGAAAUCUGGAGCCUUCGGCUUCCGAGUUGUAAUU